AUGAACGCUAGCGGCAGGCUUAACACAUGCAAGUCGAGGGGCAGCACGGGUAGCAAUACUUGGUGGCGACCGGCGCAAGGGUGCGUAACGCGUGAGCAACAUGCCCGUAUCAGGGGGAUAAUCCAGGGAAACUUGGUCUAAUACCCCAUAGCAAUUGGAGGAGGCAUCUUUUUCAAUUUAAAGCUUUGGUGGAUACGGAUUGGCUCGCGUGACAUUAGCUAGAUGGUAAGGUAACGGCUUACCAUGGCUACGAUGUCUAGGGGUUCUGAGAGGAAGAUCCCCCACACUGGAACUGAGACACGGUCCAGACUCCUACGGGAGGCAGCAGUGAGGAAUAUUGGACAAUGGAUGGAAAUCUGAUCCAGCCAUGCCGCGUGCAGGAAGACGGCCCUAUGGGUUGUAAACUGCUUUUGUAUGGGAGCAAUAAGGUCUAUGCGUAGACUGAUGAGAGUACCAUACGAAUAAGCAUCGGCUAACUCCGU
This 482-nucleotide ribosomal RNA is filed under the name uncultured bacterium. RNAcentral describes it as "bacterial SSU rRNA". It matches the Rfam family "Bacterial small subunit ribosomal RNA", at positions 29 to 506 of the family's 1533-position model. The record is from RNAcentral.